AAGCCAUGCGAGUUGAUGGGAUACCCAAAGUUCCCAUGGCAAACUGCUCAGUAACACAUGAUCAACUUACCCUAUAGAGAAAAAUAACCUCGGGAAACUGAAGAUAAUGUUUCAUAGUUGAAUUGGCUUGGAAAAGUUUUUCGACGAAAGGGGUAAAAAGAAUGGUUUUUAUCUGCUAUAGGAUAGGAUCGUGUUCGAUUAUGGUUGUUGGUGAGGUAAUGGCUCACCAAGCCGAUAAUCGAUAGGGGCCGUGAGAGCGGGAGCCCCGAGAUGGGUACUGAGACAACGACCCAGGCCUUACGAGGCGCAGCAGGCGCGAAACCUCCGCAAUACACGAAAGUGUGACGGGGUUACCCAAAGUAUUCAAUUUUGAACUGUGGUAGGUGAGUAAUGUUCCCUACUAGAAAGGAGAGGGCAAGGCUGGUGCCAGCCGCCGCGGUAAAACCAGCUCUUCAAGUGGUCGGGAUAAUUAUUGGGCUUAAAGUGUCCGUAGCCGGUUUAGUAAGUUCCUGGUAAAAUCGGGUAGCUUAACUAUCUAUAUGCUAGGAAUACUACUAUACUAGAGGGCGGGAGAGGUCUGAGGUACUACAGGGGUAGGGGUGAAAUCUUAUAAUCCUUGUUGGACCACCAGUGGCGAAGGCGUCAGACUGGAACGCGCCUGACGGUGAGGGACGAAAGCCAGGGGAGCGAACCGGAUUAGAUACCCGGGUAGUCCUGGCCGUAAACGAUG
RNAcentral lists this ribosomal RNA (730 nucleotides) under uncultured archaeon. RNAcentral describes it as "bacterial SSU rRNA". It matches the Rfam family "Archaeal small subunit ribosomal RNA", at positions 46 to 762 of the family's 1478-position model. The record is from RNAcentral.